This 217-nucleotide long non-coding RNA is filed under the name Lathyrus oleraceus (garden pea). RNAcentral's name for it is "Pisum sativum (pea) long non-coding RNA (PSAT_LNC016674)". Lineage: Eukaryota; Viridiplantae; Streptophyta; Magnoliopsida; Fabales; Fabaceae. The record is from RNAcentral.
AACUCUUCCUAACCAAGAUGUAGAGGAGUUGGAAGACGCAUUUUCCUAGAUGAAGCAAGAAAGGGAUCUAUGGGAAGAGCGGUUCCAUGCUUUGAACCGAGAGCACGUAGAGUUGCAACUUGAUUCGAAAGACAAGGAUACAAUCAGUGAGGUUCUUGAAGAACGUGCAAUGAGGAGACAGAGAAAGCCAGAGGAUUUAUUUCCCCCUAGUAUGCCU